UACGUAGGGGGCGAGCGUUGUCCGGAUUUAUUGGGCGUAAAGAGCUCGUAGGCGGUUCGGUAAGUCGAAUGUGAAAUCUCCACGCUCAACGUGGAGGGGUCAUUCGAAACUGCCGUGACUUGAGUACGGUAGGGGAGUGUGGAAUUCCCGGUGUAGCGGUGAAAUGCGCAGAGAUCGGGAGGAACACCCGUGGCGAAGGCGGCACUCUGGGCCGAUACUGACGCUGAGGAGCGAAAGCGUGGGGAGCAAACAGG
RNAcentral lists this ribosomal RNA (254 nucleotides) under uncultured bacterium. RNAcentral's name for it is "partial 16S ribosomal RNA". It matches the Rfam family "Bacterial small subunit ribosomal RNA", at positions 524 to 776 of the family's 1533-position model. The record is from RNAcentral.